CGCUAUCACUCCUACGGGAGGCAGCAGUGGGGAAUAUUGCACAAUGGGCGCAAGCCUGAUGCAGCCAUGCCGCGUGUAUGAAGAAGGCCUUCGGGUUGUAAAGUACUUUCAGCAGUGAGGAAGGCGGGUGUGUUAAUAGCACAUUCGUUUGACGUUAGCUGCAGAAGAAGCACCGGCUAACUCCGUGCCAGCAGCCGCGGUAAUACGGAGGGUGCGAGCGUUAAUCGGAAUUACUGGGCGUAAAGCGCAUGCAGGUGGUUGUUAAGUCAGAUGUGAAAGCCCGGGGCUUAACCUCGGAAUUGCAUUUGAAACUGGCAGGCUAGAGUCUUGUAGAGGGGGUAGAAUUUCAGGUGUAGCGGUGAAAUGCGUAGAGAUCUGAAGGAAUACCAGUGGCGAAGGCGGCCCCCUGGACAAAGACUGACGCUCAGAUGCGAAAGCGUGGGGAGCAAACAGGAUUAGAUACCCUGGUAG
This 471-nucleotide ribosomal RNA is filed under the name uncultured bacterium. RNAcentral describes it as "bacterial SSU rRNA". It matches the Rfam family "Bacterial small subunit ribosomal RNA", at positions 328 to 793 of the family's 1533-position model. The record is from RNAcentral.